RNAcentral lists this transfer RNA (21 nucleotides) under Asperula glomerata. RNAcentral describes it as "partial tRNA-Cys". The record is from RNAcentral. Lineage: Eukaryota; Viridiplantae; Streptophyta; Magnoliopsida; Gentianales; Rubiaceae.
UCGCCUGAUCAACAAAAGAAA